This 400-nucleotide ribosomal RNA is filed under the name uncultured bacterium. RNAcentral's name for it is "bacterial SSU rRNA". It matches the Rfam family "Bacterial small subunit ribosomal RNA", at positions 356 to 773 of the family's 1533-position model. The record is from RNAcentral.
GGGGAAUAUUGGACAAUGGGGGCAACCCUGAUCCAGCAAUGCCGCGUGAGUGAAGAAGGCCUUCGGGUUGUAAAGCUCUUUUGUUAGGGACGAUGAUGACGGUACCUAACGAAUAAGCCCCGGCUAACUUCGUGCCAGCAGCCGCGGUAAUACGAAGGGGGCUAGCGUUGUUCGGAAUGACUGGGCGUAAAGGGCGCGUAGGCGGUUAGAUGAGUUUGGUGUGAAAGCCCUGGGCUUAGCCUAGGAAUUGCAUUGAAUACUGUCUGACUAGAGGCUGAGAGAGGAAAAUGGAAUUGCGUGUGUAGAGGUGAAAUUCGUAGAGAUGCGCAAGAACACCGGUGGCGAAGGCGAUUUUCUGGCUUAGUACUGACGCUAAGGCGCGAAAGCGUGGGGAGCAAAC